RNAcentral lists this transfer RNA (82 nucleotides) under Candidatus Aerophobetes bacterium ADurb.Bin490. Its description in RNAcentral is "tRNA-Leu". It matches the Rfam family "tRNA". Rfam says of the family: Transfer RNA (tRNA) molecules are approximately 80 nucleotides in length. Their secondary structure includes four short double-helical elements and three loops (D, anti-codon, and T loops). Further hydrogen bonds mediate the characteristic L-shaped molecular structure. tRNAs have two regions of fundamental functional importance: the anti-codon, which is responsible for specific mRNA codon recognition, and the 3' end, to which the tRNAs corresponding amino acid is attached (by aminoacyl-tRNA synthetases). tRNAs cope with the degeneracy of the genetic code in two manners: having more than one tRNA (with a specific anti-codon) for a particular amino acid; and 'wobble' base-pairing, i.e. permitting non-standard base-pairing at the 3rd anti-codon position. RNAcentral also lists the same sequence under 1 other name. Lineage: Bacteria; Candidatus Aerophobota. The record is from RNAcentral.
GCGAGGAUGGCGGAAUUGGCAGACGCGCCAGACUUAGGAUCUGGUCCUUUGGGUGUGGGUUCAAGUCCCUCUCCUCGCACCA